UCAAGCUAAUAAGGGCACAUGGGGGAUGCCUGGGCACCAGGUGGCGAUGAAGGACGUUGCAGGCUGCGAUAAGCCUCGGGGAGCCGCCAAGCAGGCGUUGAUCCGGGGAUUUCCGAAUGGGGAAACCCAGUACGGCGGUGCAAGCUGUCCGUACUAUCCGUUGGCAACAACGGAAGCAAACGUGGCGAAGUGACACAUCUCAGUAACCACAGGAAAGAAAAGAGCCAUCUACUCCGUCAGUAGCGGCGAGCGAACGCGGACCAGCCUAAACCCGAAAGGUGUCAAGACGGCGGUCGUUGCUUUUCGGGGGUCGUGGGGACCAAUCGUCUCGGCCCGCCAGCCGGGAGAGGAGUUACAAAGGCCAAGGUAGCCGAACCCUCUGGAACGUGGGGCCAUAGCAGGUGACAGCCCUGUAGGCGAAACCGGAAGCCCUCCUUUGAAUGGUUUCCCAAGUAAUGCCGGUCCCGGGAAAGCCGGCAUGAAUCUGGGCGGACCACCGCCUAAGGCUAAGUACAACCUGGUGACCGAUAGUGAACUAAGUAGCGCGAGCGAACGGUGAAAAGAACCCUUGAUAAGGGAGUGAAAUUAGAACCUGAAACCAUGUGCCUACGAACGGUCAAAGGGCUAUGGGGGAAACUCGGGCAACCGGGUGGAACCAAUGCCUGAUGACGUGCCUUUUGCAUAAUGAGCCCGGGAGUUAUUGGUGGAUGCGAGGUUAAGGCGGUUCGUCCCGCCGGAGCCGAAGGGAAACCGAGUGCCAAAUGCGCGAUUUAGUAUCCAUCAAUAGACCCGAAUGCCAGUGAUCUACUUAUGGGCAGGAUGAACUGCGGGUGACACCGCAGGGAGGUCCGGUAGGGCAUAACGUUGAAAAGUUAUCCCGUGAUCUGUGAGUAGGAGUAAAAGGCUAAUCAAACUGGCGAAUAGCUGGUACUCCCCGAAAUAGCUUUAGGGCUAGCCUCGGGUAAUAGCGUGUGGGGGUAGAGCUACUGAAUGGGUUUUGGGGCCCACCAGGCUACCAUACCCAACCAAACUCCGAAUACCAUACGCCGUAUCCCGGGAGUCAGAGAGGUGGGGCUAAGCUUGCUUCUCGAGAGGGAAACAGCCCAGACCAACGGCUAAGGUCCCCAAGUCCGGACUAAGUGUAAAAGGAAGUGCGGGUGCAUAGACAGCUAGGAUGUUGGCUUAGAAGCAGCCACCAUUUAAAAAGUGCGUAAUAGCUUACUAGUCGAGCACCCACGCGCCGAAAAUGAUCGGGCCUCAAGUCCGGCGCCGACGCCUUGGAUGGCACAGUGUCUUCGGACGCAGUGCCGUGGUAGGGGAGCAUUCCAUGUCGAGGAUGAAGGAGGACCGAAAGGACCUCUGGACAGCAUGGAAGAGAUUAUCCGGGCAUAAGUAGCGAGCUAAGUAGAGUGAGAAGCUCUACCGCCGAAAGCCUAAGGUUUCCUGGGGAAGGUAAUUCCGCCCAGGGUCAGUCGGCCCCUAAGGCGAGGUCGAAAGGCGUAGCUGAUGGGAAUCCGGUCAACAUUCCGGAACCGCGGACAUGAGGUUACCACCGAUGCGGGGGUGCAGGAGGUUAGGCCAUCCUGGACGAUAGAAGUCCGGCCAAGCGUGUAGGCGAGGGUCUUUGGCAAAUCCGGGACCCUGCGAAAGCAACGCCGAGACGUGAUGGGGACCCUAAUUGCGGGGGAAGUGGCUGAUACCAUGCUGACUAGAAAAGCCGCUAAGGGACGAGUGUUCGCGACCGUACUAAAACCGACACAGGUAGGCGAGUUGAGUAUACCAAGGCGCUCCGGUGACCCCUCUGGAAGGAACUAGGCAAAAUGACUCCGUAACUUCGGGACAAGGAGUGCCCUUUGCCGUGUAGGGUCUUGCAUCUGAAGCGGUAGAGGGUCGCAGAGAAUCGGGCCGGGGAACUGUUUACUAAAAACACAGGUCUGUGCUAAAGCGUUAAAGCUGAUGUAUACAGACUGACGCUUGCCCGCUGCCGGAAGGUUAAGGGAAUCGGUUAGUGGGGGCAACCCUGCGAAGCUGUGAACCGAAGCCCCGGUGAAGGGCGGCCGUAACUAUGACGGUCCUAAGGUAGCGAAGUUCCUUGUCGGGUAAGUUCCGACGCGCAUGAAUAGCGUAAUCACUUGGCCGGUGUCUCCCAGAGGAGCCGGGCGAAAUUGCAGCGGCGGUGAAGAUACCGCUUACCCGCAGAUGGACGGAAAGACCCCGUGAACCUUUACUGUAGCCUAUUAUUGGCUUUUGACCUGCCUUGCGUAGGAUAGGUGGGAGGCGCUGAAGCCCAGGCUCCGGCUUGGGCUGAGCCGACGGUGAAAUACCACUCCUGACAUGUUAGGAGCCUAACUCGGUCCCGUGAAUCCGGGCCGGGGACAGUGGUAGGUGGGCAGUUUAACUGGGGCGGUUUCCUCCCAAAGAGUAACGGAGGAGUUCUAAGGCACGCUCAGCGCGGUUGGCAAUCGCGCGACGAGUGCAAGGGCAUAAGCGUGCUCAACUGCGAGACUCAAUACGUCGAGCAGGUGUGAAAGCAGGACCUAGUGAUCCGGUGGAUUCCGAGUGGAAGGGCCAUCGCUCAUCAGACAAAAGGUACUCCGGGGAUAACAGGCUGAUCUCGCCCAAGAGUCCACAUCGACGGCGAGGUUUGGCACCUCGAUGUCGGCUCAUCGCAUCCUGGGGCUGGAGAAGGUCCCAAGGGUUCGGCUGUUCGCCGAUCAAUAGCGGUACGUGAGCUGGGUUUAGACCGGCGUGAGCCAGGUCGGUCCCUAUCCUCUGUGGGCGCUGGAGACUUGAGGGAAGGUGCUCCUAGUACGAGAGGAUCGGAGUGCACGAACCUCUGGUGUACCUGUUGUCCUACUAAGGGCAAUCGCAGGGUAGCUACGUUCGGCAGGGAUAACCGCUGAAAGCAUCUAAGCGGGAAGCCCCUCCCAAGACUAGGUCUCCGUUAAGGGUCGUGGAAGACUACCACGUUGAUAGGCGUGCUGGUGCAAGGCGGGUAACCGCUUGAGCCGAGCCGUACUAAUCGCCCGUCCGCUUGACCGC
Molecule: ribosomal RNA, 3042 nt
Filed under: groundwater metagenome
Description: bacterial LSU rRNA
Rfam family: Bacterial large subunit ribosomal RNA
Source: RNAcentral